Chenopodium quinoa (quinoa) is the source of this 591-nucleotide long non-coding RNA. RefSeq lists it as uncharacterized. Lineage: Eukaryota; Viridiplantae; Streptophyta; Magnoliopsida; Caryophyllales; Amaranthaceae. The transcript has 2 exons. The record is from RefSeq and is a predicted model, not a curated record.
GGCUGGGUAGGCUAAUAUAGUAUUUUUUGUUUGGAUCUUGGUUUAGAAGGAAGUUAAAGAGAGAUUUUGUAAUGCUCUUGUGUGCAUAAAAACUUUUAAAAGGUGUAUCUUUUCCGAUAGGGAUCUUGAUAUGAAAUGAACCAUAAGAUUUUGAGGUUUAUUGCCAGAAUGCAGAAGCUUAGUUGGAUUUCAGUUCAUCAUUUGGUUUUUGUAGUUAGUUCAUGCCUGAUAUAAGUAUCUAUAAUUCAGAUUAUUUUAUCAAGGUAUAAGAUUAUUGGAAGCUCGUAUGAUUGUGUAGCCUGUGUCAUGAUAUAUUUUAGAUUUCCCCAGAUUAAAGCAACUCCUUGGCACAUGGUAUAUUACUUGUAAAUGUGUUUUUUUGUAUUUUUUGUUGAGUUAAUUUUGUUUUUUUUUUUUUUGCUGAAUUUUUUUUUUUUUUGGAUUCUUUUGCUGAAUUUUGGUUGGUUUGAUUUUGAUUACAGCCAACAAAACGAUGUUUGUGAUUCAAAAGCUGGUGCUGAUCUUCUUGACAUGAUUCUUUGCAAGUAGGGAAGCCUGAACCAAAACCUUCACCAACUUCAGAAAGUGGUA